UGCGGUUUAAUUGGACUCAACGCCGGGCAGCUCACCGGAUAAGACAGCUGGAUGAUAGCCGGGCUGAAGACUCUGCUUGACUGGCUGAGAGGAGGUGCAUGGCCGUCGUCAGUUCGUACUGUGAAGCAUCCUGUUAAGUCAGGCAACGAGCGAGACCCACGCCAACAGUUGCCAGCAUGUCCUCCGGGAUGAUGGGGACACUGUUGGGACCGCCUCUGCUAAAGAGGAGGAAGGAAUGGGCAACGGUAGGUCAGCAUGCCCCGAAUUAUCCGGGCUACACGCGGGCUACAAUGGUCAGGACAAUGGGUAUCGACACCGAGAGGUGGAGGCAAUCUCCUAAACCUGUCCUUAGUUCGGAUUGUGGGCUGCAACUCGCCCACAUGAAGCUGGAAUCCGUAGUAAUCGCGUUUCAAAAUAGCGCGGUGAAUAUGUCCCUGCUCCUU
This 443-nucleotide ribosomal RNA is filed under the name uncultured Methanolinea sp. Its description in RNAcentral is "bacterial SSU rRNA". It matches the Rfam family "Archaeal small subunit ribosomal RNA", at positions 896 to 1338 of the family's 1478-position model. The record is from RNAcentral. Lineage: Archaea; Methanobacteriati; Methanobacteriota; Methanomicrobia; Methanomicrobiales; Methanoregulaceae.